GUAGAUGUAGUUUAACUAAAACAUUAGAUUGUGAUUCUAAAAACAGGGGCUAAAAUCCCCUUAUCCACC
This 69-nucleotide transfer RNA is filed under the name Mesocottus haitej (Amur sculpin). Its description in RNAcentral is "tRNA-His". It matches the Rfam family "tRNA". From Rfam's summary of the family: Transfer RNA (tRNA) molecules are approximately 80 nucleotides in length. Their secondary structure includes four short double-helical elements and three loops (D, anti-codon, and T loops). The record is from RNAcentral. Lineage: Eukaryota; Metazoa; Chordata; Actinopteri; Perciformes; Cottidae.